Molecule: small RNA, 134 nt
Filed under: Marvinbryantia formatexigens
Lineage: Bacteria; Bacillati; Bacillota; Clostridia; Lachnospirales; Lachnospiraceae
Description: Clostridiales-1 RNA
Rfam family: Clostridiales-1 RNA
Source: RNAcentral
GAUGCCAGGGUCCCAAGGUCUGAGCCCACAUGAGCUUGCUCUAUAGUGGGCUCAGACCUUGGGAUCCGCCCCGAUAUGAGCAUAAAAGUGGGAUGUAUAUCCCACGAUAUGCGAAUAGCGGGUAGGAUUGUGGG